UCGAACGCUUCUUUCCUCCCGAGUGCUUGCACUCAAUUGGAAAGAGGAGUGGCGGACGGGUGAGUAACACGUGGGUAACCUACCCAUCAGAGGGGGAUAACACUUGGAAACAGGUGCUAAUACCGCAUAACAGUUUAUGUCGCAUGGCAUAAGAGUGAAAGGCGCUUUCGGGUGUCGCUGAUGGAUGGACCCGCGGUGCAUUAGCUAGUUGGUGAGGUAACGGCUCACCAAGGCCACGAUGCAUAGCCGACCUGAGAGGGUGAUCGGCCACACUGGGACUGAGACACGGCCCAGACUCCUACGGGAGGCAGCAGUAGGGAAUCUUCGGCAAUGGACGAAAGUCUGACCGAGCAACGCCGCGUGAGUGAAGAAGGUUUUCGGAUCGUAAAACUCUGUUGUUAGAGAAGAACAAGGACGUUAGUAACUGAACGUCCCCUGACGGUAUCUAACCAGAAAGCCACGGCUAACUACGUGCCAGCAGCCGCGGUAAUACGUAGGUGGCAAGCGUUGUCCGGAUUUAUUGGGCGUAAAGCGAGCGCAGGCGGUUUCUUAAGUCUGAUGUGAAAGCCCCCGGCUCAACCGGGGAGGGUCAUUGGAAANCUGGGAGACUUGAGUGCAGAAGAGGAGAGUGGAAUUCCAUGUGUAGCGGUGAAAUGCGUAGAUAUAU
RNAcentral lists this ribosomal RNA (667 nucleotides) under uncultured Bacilli bacterium. RNAcentral's name for it is "bacterial SSU rRNA". It matches the Rfam family "Bacterial small subunit ribosomal RNA", at positions 62 to 699 of the family's 1533-position model. The record is from RNAcentral. Lineage: Bacteria; Bacillati; Bacillota; Bacilli.